AGUGGUUUGGCACCUCGAUGUCGGCUCAUCGCAUCCUGGGGCUGAAGUAGGUCCCAAGGGUUGGGCUGUUCGCCCAUUAAAGCGGUACGCGAGCUGGGUUCAGAACGUCGUGAGACAGUUCGGUCCCUAUCCGGCGCGGGCGUAGGAUAUUUGAGAGGAGCUGUCCUUAGUACGAGAGGACCGGGAUGGACUGACCUCUGGUGUAUCUGUUGGGUAUCAAACCCAUGGCAGAGUAGCCAAGUCGGGACGGGAUAAACGCUGAAGGCAUCUAAGCGUGAAGCCCCCCUCAAGAUGAGAUAUCCCAUCGCAAGAGUAAGACCCCUUGAAGACGACGAGGUAGAUAGGGCAGAGGUGGAAGCAUGGCAACAUGUGCAGCUGACUGUUACUAAUCGGUCGAGGGCUUAACCAA
RNAcentral lists this non-coding RNA (409 nucleotides) under [Clostridium] symbiosum WAL-14163. Its description in RNAcentral is "Clostridium symbiosum WAL-14163 Bacterial large subunit ribosomal RNA". It matches the Rfam family "Bacterial large subunit ribosomal RNA", at positions 2512 to 2925 of the family's 2925-position model. Lineage: Bacteria; Bacillati; Bacillota; Clostridia; Lachnospirales; Lachnospiraceae. The record is from Rfam by way of RNAcentral.